This 400-nucleotide ribosomal RNA is filed under the name uncultured eukaryote. RNAcentral describes it as "SSU rRNA". It matches the Rfam family "Eukaryotic small subunit ribosomal RNA", at positions 567 to 968 of the family's 1831-position model. The record is from RNAcentral.
CCAGCACCUGCGGUAAUUCCAGCUCCAAUAGCGUAUAUUAAUACUGAUGCAGUUAAAAAGCUCGUCGUCGAACUCGUGACUUCGCCGGCCCGGCUCGCUGUCUAGUACAGCGUUUGCUUGGUGCCUGCGGGUCAUGCGCCUGGAAAUCACUUCUGCCCUUGAUUGGAUGGUCGUGUGAUCCUGGCCAUUUACCUUGAGUAAAUCAAAGCGCUCCAAGCAGGCAAUUGCUUGAAUGCUUUAGCAUGGAAUAAUGAUAUAGGGCUUCUGUUCUAUUCGUUGGCUGAAGAACAAAAGUAAUGAUGGAUAGGGAUAGUUGGGGGUGCUAGUAUUUAGCGGUCAGCGGUGAAAUGCGAAGACCCGCUAAAGACUAACUUAUGCGAAAGCAUUCACCAAGGAUAUC